This 447-nucleotide ribosomal RNA is filed under the name uncultured bacterium. Its description in RNAcentral is "partial 16S ribosomal RNA". It matches the Rfam family "Bacterial small subunit ribosomal RNA", at positions 330 to 793 of the family's 1533-position model. The record is from RNAcentral.
UCCAGACUCCUACGGGAGGCAGCAGUGGGGGAUAUUGCACAAUGGGGGGAACCCUGAUGCAGCGACGCCGCGUGGGUGAAGGAGUAUUUCGGUAUGUAAAGCCCUAUCGGCAGGGAAGAAGAAAGACGGUACCUGACUAAGAAGCCCCGGCUAACUACGUGCCAGCAGCCGCGGUAAUACGUAGGGGGCGAGCGUUAUCCGGAUUCACUGGGUGUAAAGGGAGCGUAGACGGCCAAGCAAGCCAGGGGUGAAAGCCCGGGGCCCAACCCCGGGACUGCCCUUGGAACUGCAUGGCCGGAGUGCGGGAGGGGCAGGCGGAAUUCCUGGUGUAGCGGUGAAAUGCAUAGAUAUCACGCAGAACUCCGAUUGCGAAGGCAGCGCACCGGCGCCCUACUGACGCUCAGGCACGAAAGCGUGGGGAGCAAACAGGAUUAGAUACCCCCGUAA